This 257-nucleotide ribosomal RNA is filed under the name Acinetobacter baumannii. RNAcentral describes it as "partial 16S ribosomal RNA". It matches the Rfam family "Bacterial small subunit ribosomal RNA", at positions 1277 to 1533 of the family's 1533-position model. The record is from RNAcentral. RNAcentral also lists the same sequence under 1 other name. Lineage: Bacteria; Pseudomonadati; Pseudomonadota; Gammaproteobacteria; Moraxellales; Moraxellaceae.
AAAAGCCGAUCGUAGUCCGGAUUGGAGUCUGCAACUCGACUCCAUGAAGUCGGAAUCGCUAGUAAUCGCGGAUCAGAAUGCCGCGGUGAAUACGUUCCCGGGCCUUGUACACACCGCCCGUCACACCAUGGGAGUUUGUUGCACCAGAAGUAGCUAGCCUAACUGCAAAGAGGGCGGUUACCACGGUGUGGCCGAUGACUGGGGUGAAGUCGUAACAAGGUAGCCGUAGGGGAACCUGCGGCUGGAUCACCUCCUUA